Molecule: ribosomal RNA, 268 nt
Filed under: uncultured bacterium
Lineage: Bacteria
Description: partial 16S ribosomal RNA
Rfam family: Bacterial small subunit ribosomal RNA
Source: RNAcentral
GUCCACGCCGUAAACUAUGAGAGCUAGCAGUCGGCAAGUACACUUGUCGGUGGCGCAGCUAACGCAUUAAGCUCUCCGCCUGGGGGAGUACGGUCGCAAGAUUAAAACUCAAAGGAAUUGACGGGGGCCCCGCACAAGCGGUGGAGCAUGUGGUUUAAUUAGAAGCAACGCGCAGAACCUUACCAGCCCUUGACAUGUCACGUAUGGUUACCAGAGAUGGUUUCCUUCAGUUCGGCUGGCGUGAACACAGGUGCUGCAUGGCUGUCGU